This 496-nucleotide ribosomal RNA is filed under the name uncultured bacterium. RNAcentral describes it as "partial 16S ribosomal RNA". It matches the Rfam family "Bacterial small subunit ribosomal RNA", at positions 28 to 507 of the family's 1533-position model. The record is from RNAcentral.
GAUGAACGCUGGCGGCGUGCCUAAUACAUGCCAGUCGAGCGAACAGACGAGGAGCUUGCUCCUCUGACGUUAGCGGCGGACGGGUGAGUAACACGUGGAUAACCUACCUAUAAGACUGGGAUAACUUCGGGAAACCGGAGCUAAUACCGGAUAAUAUAUUGAACCGCAUGGUUCAAUAGUGAAAGACGGUUUUGCUGUCACUUAUAGAUGGAUCCGCGCCGCAUAGCUAGUUGGUAAGGUAACGGCUUACCAAGGCAACGAUGCGUAGCCGACCUGAGAGGGUGAUCGGCCACACUGGAACUGAGACACGGUCCAGACUCCUACGGGAGGCAGCAGUAGGGAAUCUUCCGCAAUGGGCGAAAGCUUGACGGAGCAACGCCGCGUGAGUGAUGAAGGUCUUCGGAUCGUAAAACUCUGUUAUUAGGGAAGAACAAAUGUGUAAGUAACUAUGCACGUCUUGACGGUACCUAAUCAGAAAGCCACGGCUAACUACGUG